GCAGUAGCCGCGGGAAUACAGAGGGUGCGAGCGUUAAUCGGAUUUACUGGGCGUAAAGCGUGCGUAGGCGGCUUUUUAAGUCGGAUGUGAAAUCCCUGAGCUUAACUUAGGAAUUGCAUUCGAUACUGGGAAGCUAGAGUAUGGGAGAGGAUGGUAGAAUUCCAGGUGUAGCGGUGAAAUGCGUAGAGAUCUGGAGGAAUACCGAUGGCGAAGGCAGCCAUCUGGCCUAAUACUGACGCUGAGGUACGAAAGCAUGGGGAGCAAACAGGAUUAGAUACCCCUGUAGUCCCUGUCUCUUAUAA
RNAcentral lists this ribosomal RNA (302 nucleotides) under uncultured bacterium. RNAcentral describes it as "partial 16S ribosomal RNA". It matches the Rfam family "Bacterial small subunit ribosomal RNA", at positions 508 to 809 of the family's 1533-position model. The record is from RNAcentral.